This 501-nucleotide ribosomal RNA is filed under the name uncultured bacterium. RNAcentral's name for it is "bacterial SSU rRNA". It matches the Rfam family "Bacterial small subunit ribosomal RNA", at positions 791 to 1288 of the family's 1533-position model. The record is from RNAcentral.
UAGUCCACGCCGUAAACGAUGUCUACUAGCCGUUGGGGAACUUGAGUCUCCAGUGGCGCAGCUAACGCACUAAGUAGACCGCCUGGGGAGUACGGCCGCAAGGUUAAAACUCAAAUGAAUUGACGGGGGCCCGCACAAGCGGUGGAGCAUGUGGUUUAAUUCGAUGCAACGCGAAGAACCUUACCAGGUCUUGACAUCCCUGAAACUUUCUAGAGAUAGAUUGGUGCCUUCGGGAAUCAGGUGACAGGUGCUGCAUGGCUGUCGUCAGCUCGUGUCGUGAGAUGUUGGGUUAAGUCCCGUAACGAGCGCAACCCUUGUCCUUAGUUGCCAGCACAUAAUGGUGGGAACUCUAAGGAGGCUGCCGGUGACAAACCGGGAGGAAGGUGGGGACGACGUCAAGUCAUCAUGGGCCCUUACGACCUGGGGCUACACACGUGCUACAAUGGAACGCACAGAGGGCUGCAACCUCGCGAGAGUGAGCCAAUCCCACAAAACGUUUCG